RNAcentral lists this ribosomal RNA (492 nucleotides) under uncultured bacterium. RNAcentral's name for it is "partial 16S ribosomal RNA". It matches the Rfam family "Bacterial small subunit ribosomal RNA", at positions 29 to 507 of the family's 1533-position model. The record is from RNAcentral.
AGUGAACGCUGGCGGUAGGCCUAACACAUGCAAGUCGAACGGCAGCACAGUAAGAGCUUGCUCUUACGGGUGGCGAGUGGCGGACGGGUGAGGAAUACAUCGGCAUCUACUUUUUCGUGGGGGAUAACGUAGGGAAACUUACGCUACUACCGCAUACGACCUACGGGUGAAAGCAGGGGAUCUUCGCACCUUGCGCGAUUGAAUGAGCCGAUGUCGGAUUAGCUAGUUGGCGGGGUAAAGGCCCACCAAGGCGACGAUGCGUAGCUGGUCUGAGAGGAUGAUCGGCCACACUGGAACUGAGACACGGUCCAGACUCCUACGGGAGGCAGCAGUAGGGAAUAUUGGACAAUGGGCGCAAGCCUGAUCCAGCCAUACCGCGUGAGUGAAGAAGGCCUUCGGGUUGUAAAGCCCUUUUGUUGGGAAAGAAAAGCAGCAGGUUAAUACCCCGCUGUUCUGACGGUACCCAAAGAAUAAGCACCGGCUAACUUCGUG